This 149-nucleotide ribosomal RNA is filed under the name Pseudocrangonyx sp. 2 NN-2020. Its description in RNAcentral is "partial 16S ribosomal RNA". Lineage: Eukaryota; Metazoa; Arthropoda; Malacostraca; Amphipoda; Pseudocrangonyctidae. The record is from RNAcentral.
UAAAACCUUUAUUUGGCAGGUAUUAGAUUAAUUAUAUUGUAGAAGUAAAUAAGUGAUCAAAUUAGCUGGGGAAGUGGUUUUAAAGAAUUAAAAUUUUAAAAUACUUAAACUUAGUCUAAAUGAUCUUAUAUGUAAGAGUUAUUGGAUAA